CGGACGGGUGAGUAACGCGUGAGAAUUUGCCUUUAGGAGGGGGACAACAAUUGGAAACGAUUGCUAAUACCCCAUAUGCUUUCGAGUGAAAUGGAUUUUUCCGCCUAAAGAGAAGCUUGCGGCUGAUUAGCUUGUUGGUAAGGUAAUGGCUUACCAAGGCGACGAUCAGUAUCUGGUUUGAGAGGACGAUCAGACACACUGGAACUGAGACACGGUCCAGACUCCUACGGGAGGCAGCAGUGGGGAAUUUUCCGCAAUGGGCGAAAGCCUGACGGAGCAAUCUCGCGUGAGGGAUGACGGCCUAUGGGUUGUAAACCUCUUUUUUCAGGGAGGAAUAAAAUGACGUGUACCUGAAGAAUAAGCAUCGGCUAACUCCGUGCCAGCAGCCGCGGUAAGACGGAGGAUGCAAGUGUUAUCCGGAAUCACUGGGCGUAAAGCGUCUGUAGGUGGUUUAAUAAGUCAACUGUUAAAUCUUGAGGCUCAACCUCAAAAUCGCAGUCGAAACUAUUAGGCUAGAGUAUAGUAGGGGUAAAGGGAAUUUCCAGUGGAGCGGUGAAAUGCGUAGAGAUUGGAAAGAACACCGAUGGCGAAGGCACUUUACUGGGCUAUUACUAACACUCAGAGACGAAAGCUAGGGUAGCAAAUGGGAUUAGAUACCCCAGUAGUC
This 667-nucleotide ribosomal RNA is filed under the name uncultured cyanobacterium. RNAcentral describes it as "bacterial SSU rRNA". It matches the Rfam family "Bacterial small subunit ribosomal RNA", at positions 99 to 795 of the family's 1533-position model. The record is from RNAcentral. Lineage: Bacteria; Bacillati; Cyanobacteriota.